This 493-nucleotide ribosomal RNA is filed under the name uncultured bacterium. RNAcentral's name for it is "bacterial SSU rRNA". It matches the Rfam family "Bacterial small subunit ribosomal RNA", at positions 28 to 507 of the family's 1533-position model. The record is from RNAcentral.
GAUGAACGCUAGCUACAGGCUUUAACACAUGCAAGUCGAGGGGAACGAUNUUGGAAGCUUGCUUCCGAUAGGCGUCGACCGGCGCACGGGUGAGUAACGCGUAUCCAACCUGCCCGUCACUUGGGAAUAACCUUGCGAAAGUAAGACUAAUGCCCAAUGACAUUUUAUAGAAGGCAUCUGAAAUGAAUUAAAGAUUUAUCGGUGAUGGAUGGGGAUGCGUCUGAUUAGCUUGUUGGCGGGGUAACGGCCCACCAAGGCGACGAUCAGUAGGGGUUCUGAGAGGAAGGUCCCCCACAUUGGAACUGAGACACGGUCCAAACUCCUACGGGAGGCAGCAGUGAGGAAUAUUGGUCAAUGGGCGAGAGCCUGAACCAGCCAAGUAGCGUGCAGGAAGACGGCCCUAUGGGUUGUAAACUGCUUUUAUAGGGGAAUAAAGUGAGCCACGUGUGGUUUUUUGCAUGUACCCUAUGAAUAAGGACCGGCUAAUUCCGUG